UUAAAACGUACAGUUAAGUUCUUAUUGAUUAUAGUUACCCUAUUGUGCUAUCAAAUAGUAGGUCUUUUUUUUUCACCCAUUGGAAGGAGGCUUUUCCAUCUCACAUUGUACUAGUCCUCUGAUUAGUAGUAUUUCUAAAAUAAUCCCACCUUAUUCUGGUUAUUACUUUUUCAAUGCUUUUGAUAAGUAACAAAUAUUUGAAUGCCUGUUAUAUACAAAUUGCUAUGCCACAGGAACUAUAGACACAUCCUCUCCCUUCAAGAGUUCUCACAGUCAGGAAAAUGAAACACAAGCAAUUUAAAAGUAAAGUACAAGAGGCCAAAUAACAAUUCAAUACAGUGACAUCCAAAGGUAAAAAAUUAUUGGUUACCAAAUCAGUAGAAGAGAGAAGUCAUAUGGAACAGAGUCUUCUAAAUGAUCUUUACCUGAAUCCAAACACAUUUGUUUCCUUUUUCAGAUUCAACUUAUCAGUAUAUAAAAGGUUCUGCUGACAUUAAAUCCAACCAGGGAAUCUUCCCCUGUGGACUUCAGUGUGUCACCAUUUUAAUUGGUGUCUAUGACAUACAGACAGGGGUUCCCCUGAUGGAGUCAUCAAUCAACCUUUUGUGUCACGAGAUCCAAACACCCUCAG
RNAcentral lists this small RNA (631 nucleotides) under Pan troglodytes (chimpanzee). RNAcentral describes it as "retained intron". The record is from RNAcentral. Lineage: Eukaryota; Metazoa; Chordata; Mammalia; Primates; Hominidae.